Molecule: small RNA, 1546 nt
Filed under: Pyricularia oryzae
Lineage: Eukaryota; Fungi; Ascomycota; Sordariomycetes; Magnaporthales; Pyriculariaceae
Description: Magnaporthe oryzae sRNA M_BR32_EuGene_00141611
Source: RNAcentral
UUUUUUUAUAUAUAAUUAUAAUAUUAAUAUUAUAAAAAACCAAUGGGAAUAUUUUUGGCGACGCGCCGUAUUGCGCGUAUAUAUUUUAAUAACCCGGUAUAUAUAAAAAAGAUAAAAAACGACCGGGAUUAAUACGUCCAUUUUUUUCCGAAAUUACGUUUGGUUCGAUAAUUCGAUUUUCGAUUUCGUAUUAUUUGCGUACGCGUUUAUAUUUAUAAUAUUUAUUAUUUGGUUCGUUACCGUUUAUUUCGCCGUUUUGGGUUUUAAUUAUUUGGUUGGUUAUCCGGUUGCGAAAAUCCUAUUAUAUUAACGUUUCCACGUUUUUUCGCCCGUUAUUAUUAAAUAUAAAAUUUGUAAUUGUUUAAUUUAUAUUUGUGGAUUUUCGGAAAUGCGUCGAAAAAAUAAUCGCCGUAUUAUUUAAACCAUUUAUAUAAUUAUAAAAUUGGGAAAUAUUUUAACAAAUUUUAUUUUAUCCAAUUUCGUUAAUAAAAACGGAUAAAUUUUUUGGCGAAUAUAAUAAUUUCGGAUUGGGGUAACGUUAUUUGGGAAAAAAGGUCGUAUAAUUUUUGUGGAUUUUGGUAAAAUAUAAUGGUUAUAAAAUGGGUAUCCCAUUUAUCCAAUUGUUUUAAUACGCAAAUUUUUUUGGAAUAUUUUUUCGGCGUUUUAUAUAACGGGUUUUUUAAAGGUAAAUUGGAUAGGAUAUCCAAAUUGUAAUGGUAAAUAUUGUAAUAAUAAUUGGGGUAAUUAUUUGUAUUAAAUAGGUUGGUUUCCUAUAUAAAUUUAAAAAUGGCGCGUUUAAAAUAAAAAACGUUGGCGAAAAUAUAUAUAUUUAAUAUUUGCUCCAUUAAUUUAUUUUUAUUUAAUUUAUCCUAUACAGUCCAAUGGGGCGGGAUUUAUGGUUCGAAUAUACCGAAAGGUCCAAUUGGUUUGGGUUUCGGCGUUAUUACCCCGUUAUUACCGUUUAAAUUUAAUUUAAAUAUAUUUGGAAAAUUUAUAGGGAAUAAUCGCGUUUAUAAAUAUAUCGAAAAAUUUAAAUGGGUGGUUUAUAAAUUAUUAUUAUUUUUUUUUAAUACCGCGGCCCUAUUAAUUAUUUUAAUUAAAAAUUUUUAUUUUUUGGUUUUAUAUUUAUUUGAGGAAUUUUGCGUAUCGAAAUACUAAUAGGGGGCGAAAAAAUAAACGGUAUUUUUAAAAUUAGGGCCGCGUGCGGUUUUGCCAAAUUUUUAUUAUAAAUUUGCGGGGUCGUUUAAUAUUAACGUUCCGUAUUAUAUAAUAUAUAUAAUAUCGGGUAUAUUUAUACCCAUUUUUAAAUAUAAAAUCGUAAAAAUAAUACGAAUUUUAAAAUCCGGUUUGGAAAAUUCGGCGUAAAUUUUGGUUUUAUCGAUUUUAAAUAUAAAAAAAUUAUACCGGAAAAUAAUAUCGAUGGCGUUUUAUUGGUUAAAUCCCCUGGACGUAAAAUUUUUUAUUAAAAAUUAGCGUAUUUAAAUAAUGCGGUUUUUGCCGUUUAUAUAAACGAUUAUUUUAAAAAUUUGGAAAGCGGUUAAUAAUA